GAUUGAACGCUGGCGGCAGGCCUAACACAUGCAAGUCGAACGGUAACAGGAAGCAGCUUGCUGCUUUGCUGACGAGUGGCGGACGGGUGAGUAAUGUCUGGGAAACUGCCUGAUGGAGGGGGAUAACUACUGGAAACGGUGGCUAAUACCGCAUAAYGUCGCAAGACCAAAGAGGGGGACCUUCGGGCCUCUUGCCAUCAGAUGUGCCCAGAUGGGAUUAGCUUGUUGGUGAGGUAACGGCUCACCAAGGCGACGAUCCCUAGCUGGUCUGAGAGGAUGACCAGCCACACUGGAACUGAGACACGGUCCAGACUCCUACGGGAGGCAGCAGUGGGGAAUAUUGCACAAUGGGCGCAAGCCUGAUGCAGCCAUGCCGCGUGUAUGAAGAAGGCCUUCGGGUUGUAAAGUACUUUCAGCGGGGAGGAAGGUGUUGUGGUUAAUAACCRCAGCAAUUGACGUUACCCGCAGAAGAAGCACCGGCUAACUCC
RNAcentral lists this ribosomal RNA (488 nucleotides) under Salmonella enterica subsp. enterica serovar Thompson. Its description in RNAcentral is "bacterial SSU rRNA". It matches the Rfam family "Bacterial small subunit ribosomal RNA", at positions 27 to 504 of the family's 1533-position model. RNAcentral also lists the same sequence under 1 other name. Lineage: Bacteria; Pseudomonadati; Pseudomonadota; Gammaproteobacteria; Enterobacterales; Enterobacteriaceae. The record is from RNAcentral.